AGGAUAUAGAUAUUCAAGGAAAAUGUUUUAUGCAUGAGGUCAAACUUCAAACUAAUUUAUUUUCAUUAUGUUUGUGUCCGGUCUCAUGGAAGUAAAAUGGCAAAUCUGUAUAUAACAGGUGUUCUGAUAUAUUAUAUAAUCUCAUGUUUUGUUUGCACUGGACAAGAAACUGGAACAUUCUGUUUCGAAGAGGUUAUUUCAUUUAUUCAAAAGCGUGGCACUUACAAUAUCCCUAGAGAAAAAUUGG
Molecule: long non-coding RNA, 247 nt
Organism: Saccostrea cuccullata (small rock oyster)
Lineage: Eukaryota; Metazoa; Mollusca; Bivalvia; Ostreida; Ostreidae
Exons: 3
Source: RefSeq, a predicted model, not a curated record